RNAcentral lists this ribosomal RNA (1397 nucleotides) under Escherichia coli. RNAcentral describes it as "partial 23S ribosomal RNA". It matches the Rfam family "Bacterial large subunit ribosomal RNA", at positions 1552 to 2925 of the family's 2925-position model. The record is from RNAcentral. Lineage: Bacteria; Pseudomonadati; Pseudomonadota; Gammaproteobacteria; Enterobacterales; Enterobacteriaceae.
AAGGCUGAGGCGUGAUGACGAGGCACUACGGUGCUGAAGCAACAAAUGCCCUGCUUCCAGGAAAAGCCUCUAAGCAUCAGGUAACAUCAAAUCGUACCCCAAACCGACACAGGUGGUCAGGUAGAGAAUACCAAGGCGCUUGAGAGAACUCGGGUGAAGGAACUAGGCAAAAUGGUGCCGUAACUUCGGGAGAAGGCACGCUGAUAUGUAGGUGAAGUCCCUUGCGGAUGGAGCUGAAAUCAGUCGAAGAUACCAGCUGGCUGCAACUGUUUAUUAAAAACACAGCACUGUGCAAACACGAAAGUGGACGUAUACGGUGUGACGCCUGCCCGGUGCCGGAAGGUUAAUUGAUGGGGUCAGCGCAAGCGAAGCUCUUGAUCGAAGCCCCGGUAAACGGCGGCCGUAACUAUAACGGUCCUAAGGUAGCGAAAUUCCUUGUCGGGUAAGUUCCGACCUGCACGAAUGGCGUAAUGAUGGCCAGGCUGUCUCCACCCGAGACUCAGUGAAAUUGAACUCGCUGUGAAGAUGCAGUGUACCCGCGGCAAGACGGAAAGACCCCGUGAACCUUUACUAUAGCUUGACACUGAACAUUGAGCCUUGAUGUGUAGGAUAGGUGGGAGGCUUAGAAGUGUGGACGCCAGUCUGCAUGGAGCCGACCUUGAAAUACCACCCUUUAAUGUUUGAUGUUCUAACGUUGACCCGUAAUCCGGGUUGCGGACAGUGUCUGGUGGGUAGUUUGACUGGGGCGGUCUCCUCCUAAAGAGUAACGGAGGAGCACGAAGGUUGGCUAAUCCUGGUCGGACAUCAGGAGGUUAGUGCAAUGGCAUAAGCCAGCUUGACUGCGAGCGUGACGGCGCGAGCAGGUGCGAAAGCAGGUCAUAGUGAUCCGGUGGUUCUGAAUGGAAGGGCCAUCGCUCAACGGAUAAAAGGUACUCCGGGGAUAACAGGCUGAUACCGCCCAAGAGUUCAUAUCGACGGCGGUGUUUGGCACCUCGAUGUCGGCUCAUCACAUCCUGGGGCUGAAGUAGGUCCCAAGGGUAUGGCUGUUCGCCAUUUAAAGUGGUACGCGAGCUGGGUUUAGAACGUCGUGAGACAGUUCGGUCCCUAUCUGCCGUGGGCGCUGGAGAACUGAGGGGGGCUGCUCCUAGUACGAGAGGACCGGAGUGGACGCAUCACUGGUGUUCGGGUUGUCAUGCCAAUGGCACUGCCCGGUAGCUAAAUGCGGAAGAGAUAAGUGCUGAAAGCAUCUAAGCACGAAACUUGCCCCGAGAUGAGUUCUCCCUGACUCCUUGAGAGUCCUGAAGGAACGUUGAAGACGACGACGUUGAUAGGCCGGGUGUGUAAGCGCAGCGAUGCGUUGAGCUAACCGGUACUAAUGAACCGUGAGGCUUAACCUU